GGGGAUCGAAAGACCUUAUGCUUUUGGAGCGGCCGAUGUCUGAUUAGCUAGUUGGUAGGGUAAUGGCUUACCAAGGCGACGAUCAGUAGUUGGUCUGAGAGGACGGCCAGCCACACUGGGACUGAGACACGGCCCAGACUCCUACGGGAGGCAGCAGUGGGGAAUUUUGGACAAUGGGCGCAAGCCUGAUCCAGCAAUGCCGCGUGAGUGAAGAAGGCCUUCGGGUUGUAAAGCUCUUUCAGUUGAGAAGAAAAGGUCGUGACUAAUAAUCAUGACUCAUGACGGUAUCAACAGAAGAAGCACCGGCUAACUACGUGCCAGCAGCCGCGGUAAUACGUAGGGUGCAAGCGUUAAUCGGAAUUACUGGGCGUAAAGGGUGCGCAGGCGGUUCUGUAAGUCAGAUGUGAAAUCCCCGGGCUUAACCUGGGAACUGCGUUUGAAA
Molecule: ribosomal RNA, 442 nt
Filed under: uncultured bacterium
Lineage: Bacteria
Description: bacterial SSU rRNA
Rfam family: Bacterial small subunit ribosomal RNA
Source: RNAcentral